GUCUAAGGGCUGUGGUUCAACAUUUGGUGAAGUCGAAGGCGGUGUCCGCCGCGCAAAGUUAUUGUUGCCAAUGUGCUGAAGAAAAUAAGAAAGGAGAUACUAAAUCAAAUUAUGUCCCAGUCAUAAUGAUGCCUAUCUAUCCAGCCGACGAUUGUCCGUUUGAUAUGGAAUGUGAAGUUAAAAAUUAAGGAAGCCGAAGAUAAACCGACAAAAAAAAUUGUAAAAGAGACCCAAGCCAAAGGUUCUGAAAAGGAGAAAGACAAGAAAAAGCUGAAAAAACGAGGCUUUGUCAUGCAAAGACUUACUGAUUUCGAUUUAUUGUCACAAUGGUAGAUUACAGUCGCUUCAAAUAAAGCUCUGACGUACAAGCCUUAUUUGAUGAUAUGAGUGAUAGUGAAUGUUAUGUACAAAGUCAUAAACGAUUGUCAAGUUAAAACUGUUUUUAUAUUUGGUAACAUUGAAUAUUAGAGAUAAAUAUAAGGAUCACUUUGGUA
Molecule: long non-coding RNA, 494 nt
Filed under: Manduca sexta (tobacco hornworm)
Lineage: Eukaryota; Metazoa; Arthropoda; Insecta; Lepidoptera; Sphingidae
Description: uncharacterized LOC119193114
Source: RNAcentral